Molecule: ribosomal RNA, 366 nt
Filed under: uncultured Glomeromycotina
Lineage: Eukaryota; Fungi; Glomeromycota
Description: SSU rRNA
Rfam family: Eukaryotic small subunit ribosomal RNA
Source: RNAcentral
AGCAGCCGCGGUAAUUCCAGCUCCAAUAGCGUAUAUUAAAGUUGUUGCAGUUAAAAAGCUCGUAGUUGAAUUUCGGGGGUUAGUAGUUUGGUCGUGCCAAUGGUAUGUACUGGGGCUCACUGAUUCCUCCUUCCUGAUGAACUGUAAUGCCAUUAAUUUGGUGUUGCAGGGAAACAGGACUGUUACUUUGAAAAAAUUAGAGUGUUUAAAGCAAGCUAACGCUUGAAUACAUUAGCAUGGAAUAAUGAAAAUAGGACGUUCGAACCUAUUUUGUUGGUUUCUAGGAUUGACGUAAUGAUUAAUAGGGAUAGUUGGGGGCAUUAGUAUUCAAUUGUCAGAGGUGAAAUUCUUGGAUUUAUUGAAGAC